RNAcentral lists this ribosomal RNA (253 nucleotides) under uncultured bacterium. Its description in RNAcentral is "partial 16S ribosomal RNA". It matches the Rfam family "Bacterial small subunit ribosomal RNA", at positions 524 to 776 of the family's 1533-position model. The record is from RNAcentral.
UACGAACUGUGCAAACGUUAUUCGGAAUCAUUGGGCUUAAAGGGUGCGUAGGCGGCCUGUCAAGUCGGGUGUGAAAGCCCCCGGCUCAACCGGGGAAUUGCGCCCUAAACUGUCGGGCUGGAGUGAGAUAGGGGUGUGUGGAACUUCCGGUGGAGCGGUGAAAUGUGUUGAUAUCGGAAGGAACGCCGGUGGCGAAAGCGACACACUGGAUCUUGUCUGACGCUGAGGCACGAAAGCCAGGGGAGCGAACGGG